RNAcentral lists this ribosomal RNA (373 nucleotides) under uncultured eukaryote. RNAcentral's name for it is "partial 18S ribosomal RNA". It matches the Rfam family "Eukaryotic small subunit ribosomal RNA", at positions 592 to 976 of the family's 1831-position model. The record is from RNAcentral.
CAAUAGCGUAUAUUAAAGUUGUUGCAGUUAAAAAGCUCGUAGUUGAAUUUCUGUCAGGAGCGGCCGGGCCUUUGGAUGAACUUCCAUUGUUUUUUGCUCUGUUUGUCGUCUCUAGACAUCCUGAAAUAUUUUUUACAAAUAUUUCUCUUUUACUGUUAGCAAAAUAGAGUGUUCCAAGCAAAGCGUAGUUUUGAAUACAUUAGAAUGGAAUAAUAAGAUAUGACUUUGGUGGUCUAUUUUGUUGGUUUGCACACCAGAGUAAUGAUUAAUAGGGACAGUUGGGGGUAUUCAUAUUUCAACGUCAGAGGUGAAAUUCUUAGAUCGUUGAAAGAUGACCUUAGGCGAAAGCAUUUACCAUGGAUGUUUUCAUUAA